RNAcentral lists this ribosomal RNA (253 nucleotides) under uncultured bacterium. RNAcentral describes it as "partial 16S ribosomal RNA". It matches the Rfam family "Bacterial small subunit ribosomal RNA", at positions 524 to 776 of the family's 1533-position model. The record is from RNAcentral.
UACGAAGGUCCCAAGCGUUAUCCGGAUUUAUUGGGUUUAAAGGGUGCGUAGGCGGGUUAUUAAGUCAGUGGUGAAAGCCUUCAGCUUAACUGAAGAACUGCCAUUGAUACUGAUGAUCUUGAGCAUGAUUGAGGUGGGCGGAAUGUGUCAUGUAGCGGUGAAAUGCUUAGAUAUGACACAGAACACCGAUUGCGAAGGCAGCUCACUAAGCCAUAACUGACGCUGAUGCACGAAAGCGUGGGGAGCAAACAGG